AGUGAACGCUGGCGGCAGGCCUAAUACAUGCAAGUCGAACGGCAGCACGGCAGAGCUUGCUCUGUGGGUGGCGAGUGGCGGACGGGUGAGGAAUACAUGGGAAUCUGCCCAGUCGUGGGGGAUAACGUAGGGAAACUUACGCUAAUACCGCAUGCGCCCUUCGGGGGAAAGCCGGGGACCUUCGGGCCUGGCGCGAUUGGAUGAGCCCAUGUCGGAUUAGCUAGUUGGCGGGGUAAAGGCCCACCAAGGCGACGAUCCGUAGCUGGUCUGAGAGGAUGAUCAGCCACACUGGAACUGAGACACGGUCCAGACUCCUACGGGAGGCAGCAGUAGGGAAUAUUGGACAAUGGGCGCAAGCCUGAUCCAGCCAUGCCGCGUGAGUGAAGAAGGCCCUCGGGUUGUAAAGCUCUUUUGUCCGGAAAGAAAAGCGCCGGGUUAAUACCCUGGUGUCCUGACGGUACCGGAAGAAUAAGCACCGGCUAACUUCGUGCCAGCAGCCG
RNAcentral lists this ribosomal RNA (500 nucleotides) under uncultured bacterium. RNAcentral's name for it is "bacterial SSU rRNA". It matches the Rfam family "Bacterial small subunit ribosomal RNA", at positions 29 to 517 of the family's 1533-position model. The record is from RNAcentral.